This 535-nucleotide ribosomal RNA is filed under the name uncultured bacterium. RNAcentral describes it as "bacterial SSU rRNA". It matches the Rfam family "Bacterial small subunit ribosomal RNA", at positions 948 to 1501 of the family's 1533-position model. The record is from RNAcentral.
AAUUCGAUGCAACGCGAAGAACCUUACCAAGUCUUGACAUGCAGAUGCACCAGCGGUAAUGCGCUGUCCCUUCGGGGCGUUUGCACAGGUGCUGCGUGGCUGUCGUCAGCUCGUGUCGUGAGAUGUUGGGUUAAGUCCCGCAACGAGCGCAACCCCUACUGCCUAUUACAACUUCUAGGCGGAACUGCCCUCACGGGAGGAAGGCGGGGAUGACGUCAAGUCAGCACGGCCCUUACGACUUGGGCGACACACACGCUACAAUGGCCAGCAACAAAGGGAUGCCAACCCGCGAGGGGGAGCCAAGCUCAAAAACCUGGUCUCAGUUCAGAUUGCAGGCUGAAACUCGCCUGCAUGAAGGUGGAGUUGCUAGUAACCGUAGGUCAGCACACUACGGUGAAUACGUUCCCGGGUCUUGUACACACCGCCCGUCACACCACGAAAGUCGGCAACACCUGAAGCCGCCAGGCUAACUCUUCGGAGAGGCAGGCGUCGAGGGUGGGGUUGGUGAUUGGGGUGAAGUCGUAACAAGGUAGCC